GACGAACGCUGGCGGCGUGCUUAACACAUGCAAGUCGAACGGUGAAGCGCCUUCCUUUUUGGUGGGUGUGGAUGAGUGGCGAACGGGUGAGUAACACGUGAGUAACCUGCCCCCUUCUUCUGGAUAACCGCAUGAAAGUGUGGCUAAUACGGGAUAUUCUGGGUCUGUCGCAUGAUGGGUCUGGGAAAGAUAUUGUUUCGGUGGGGGAAGGGCUCGCGGCCUAUCAGCUUGUUGGUGGGGUGAUGGCCUACCAAGGCGGUGACGGGUAGCCGGCCUGAGAGGGUGGACGAUCACACUGGGACUGAGACACGGCCCAGACUCCUACGGGAGGCAGCAGUGGGGAAUAUUGCACAAUGGGCGCAAGCCUGAUGCAGCGACGCCGCGUGAGGGAUGGAGGCCUUCGGGUUGUGAACCUCUUUCGCCAGUGAAGCAGGCCUGCCUCGUUUGUGGGUGGGUUGACGGUAGUUGGAUAAGAAGCGCCGGCUAACUACGUG
This 494-nucleotide ribosomal RNA is filed under the name uncultured bacterium. RNAcentral describes it as "partial 16S ribosomal RNA". It matches the Rfam family "Bacterial small subunit ribosomal RNA", at positions 28 to 507 of the family's 1533-position model. The record is from RNAcentral.